Molecule: long non-coding RNA, 611 nt
Organism: Chinchilla lanigera (long-tailed chinchilla)
Lineage: Eukaryota; Metazoa; Chordata; Mammalia; Rodentia; Chinchillidae
Exons: 3
Source: RefSeq, a predicted model, not a curated record
AUUUACCUCCUGAGAUCAACAAAAGCACCAAUAUUUUGAGAUUCCCCAUAUAUUUCAAAAUCAGACUUCCUCUGACUCUUCCUUGGACCAGCUGACCUCUUCUACUCUGUUAUAGUAUUUCCUGUGGAUCUGCAGACUUUUUUGAAGUUUUAGAAAAUGCAACACAGAUAACUAGAUGCACAUUGAACACUAGAAGAGGUCCCCACGUCUCACUGUUGAGACUGAAGAUGCCAGUGACUUCAUUCCCCAUUUCAUCCACUGACCAGGGUGCACGCCCAGCCAGCUGUAACUGAUGUGAAAGUGGAGCUCUUCACACUUUUAGAAGAGCCUGCCAAGGAUAAAAUCUUAAUAAUAGAUGCCAACUCUCCCAUAUUCCAGAAUCAAGUCCUAGGAAACCCAGGUCAUAGUAAGAGAUUGUGAGGCAGCUUGUGAAAGCUUUUCUGCCCGUCACUCAGCCACUUACAAAGGAGUGGAGAUGAGGGAGAGGUUCUGUAUCCGCUUCAAGUGUGUCAGAGUUUAGCUUUUGCCUACUCAGGUAGGGAGGAGGACGUAAGGUUUGUAUGAAGUUGGCUCUAGAUCAGUCUUAGACACCAGAGUGGAAAGAGACAGAA